UUAUAGAGAAACAAAUGACUGAGUAGGCCUACUAUACUCUUAUGAAUAUAGAACCCUUCGUACUUAUAAGUUGUUUUUAAUGAUGAAACUUCCAAAUUGACGAUCCACACUAUUAAAUAUGAUCUAGAUAUUUAAAACUUUUUAGAAAAUAAAUUUCAUACUUUUUUGAAAUUAUAUUAAACUCCAUCAAGCGGGCAUAAAAUGAACAGUUAAAUUCGAACGACGUACUAAAAAUAAAUGAUAGAAUACUUCAAUUUAAGAUGAACGACGUUCUAAAAAUAAAUGAUACGAUCCUUCAAUUUAAGAUCGGAGUUAUUGAUCUUUAUUUAGAUACUGAAUAGAAUUUUUUAUUAAAAAUUCAACCUAUUUUGAUUUUUUUACACCGUUAAAUUAGCAAGUAUCCCACACCGACCGUUAAAAAUUGUCAAUUUUGAGAUCUUUUGAUCGUAAGGUAAAUGAUGUCAAAAAAUUAUGAUUUUUGAAGUUUAGAAGUUUUAAAUGUUCUGAAUAAUGUUCAUCAGUAUAGAUCGUUGAUUCGGAAACUCCAUUAUCGAAAACGAUUUAUGAGUACGAAAACGAUCGUACUCAUAAGAUUAUAGUAGCCGGACUCCAAAGGACAUAUAUACACAUGUAUAAUUAAAA
Molecule: long non-coding RNA, 642 nt
Filed under: Ananas comosus (pineapple)
Lineage: Eukaryota; Viridiplantae; Streptophyta; Magnoliopsida; Poales; Bromeliaceae
Description: long non-coding RNA (ACOM_LNC010329)
Source: RNAcentral